RNAcentral lists this ribosomal RNA (430 nucleotides) under uncultured bacterium. RNAcentral's name for it is "bacterial SSU rRNA". It matches the Rfam family "Bacterial small subunit ribosomal RNA", at positions 355 to 776 of the family's 1533-position model. The record is from RNAcentral.
UGAGGAAUUUUGCGCAAUGGGGGAAACCCUGACGCAGCAACGCCGCGUGAGUGAAGAAGGCUUUCGGGUCGUAAAGCUCUGUCAAGAGGGAAGAAAGCGGGAUAUGGUAAUACUGUAAUCCAUUGACGGUACCUCUGAAGGAAGCACCGGCUAACUCCGUGCCAGCAGCCGCGGUAAUACGGGGGGUGCAAGCGUUAUUCGGAUUUAUUGGGCGUAAAGGGCGCGUAGGCGGUUUAUCAAGUCAGAUGUGAAAGCCCUGGGCUCAACCUGGGAAGUGCAUUUGAAACUAGUAGACUUGAGUAUGGGAGAGGGGAGUGGAAUUCCUGGUGUAGAGGUGAAAUUCGUAGAUAUUGGGAAGAACACCGGUGGCGAAGGCGGCUCACUGGACCGAUACUGACGCUGAGGCGCGAAAGCGUGGGGAGCAAACAGG